GAUGAACGCUGGCGGCGUGCCUAAUACAUGCAAGUCGAGCGAACAGACGAGGAGCUUGCUCCUCUGACGUUGGCGGCGGACGGGUGAGUAACACGUGGAUAACCUACCUAUAAGACUGGGAUAACUUCGGGAAACCGGAGCUAAUACCGGAUAAUAUAUUGAACCGCAUGGUUCAAUAGUGAAAGACGGUUUUGCUGUCACUUAUAGAUGGAUCCGCGCCGCAUUAGCUAGUUGGUAAGGUAACGGCUUACCAAGGCAACGAUGCGUAGCCGACCUGAGAGGGUGAUCGGCCACACUGGAACUGAGACACGGUCCAGACUCCUACGGGAGGCAGCAGUAGGGAAUCUUCCGCAAUGGGCGAAAGCCUGACGGAGCAACGCCGCGUGAGUGAUGAAGGUCUUCGGAUCGUAAAACUCUGUUAUUAGGGAAGAACAAAUGUGUAAGUAACUAUGCACGUCUUGACGGUACCUAAUCAGAAAACCACGGCUAACUACGUG
Molecule: ribosomal RNA, 497 nt
Filed under: uncultured bacterium
Lineage: Bacteria
Description: partial 16S ribosomal RNA
Rfam family: Bacterial small subunit ribosomal RNA
Source: RNAcentral